Anthonomus grandis grandis is the source of this 880-nucleotide long non-coding RNA. RefSeq lists it as uncharacterized. NCBI's taxonomy places the organism in Eukaryota, Metazoa, Arthropoda, Insecta, Coleoptera, Curculionidae. The record is from RefSeq and is a predicted model, not a curated record. The transcript is spliced from 3 exons.
CUCGACAGAGGAAUUUCCUACUUACAGUUAUUUUGUCAUCUAUUUCUAAUAAGUGUCAGUUUCAGAAACCUUAGAAAAUCAAGACCAAUAAGUUCAACCAACAAGGCAUUUACCUAGUCAUUCAAAUCAAUAGAAAAGAGGAGAGAGAGGCUUCAAGCAGCAUAAAUUGCUUCCUUAUUUCUCUACGAUAGGGUUUUGCAUUACGACCUGACAGUUAGUCAAAUUCAGCCCAAUCCAGACCGCGAGGUAUCCAGGAUUCGACGACGACCACGGGGCAAGUUAUACGACAGACAGAGAAGAGCCGCUAUCGAUAUUCAAAGGGCGCCGCGUCAAACAUUGCUUUCCACAGUUAUUGUUUACACUGAAUCUGCAGGGCAAGGUCAAAUUUUUCAGGCAAUGUGUAGUUUAGAUUCCGCUAGCGUGAGUAAUCUUAUUACUAGUUUGGCAAGACGGUUAAGCAUUAAUUUAAAAAAGCCACAAACAUCAGUAUGAGACAAUGGUUUUUAGGUGGUUAUGCCAUUAUUAUUCGUAGGAAAAUCAGGGCAACAAUAAACUCUACUUAAAAUUAGUCGACAUUAGAUUUUCUGAUAAUUGAUAGAAUUAGGGAAAAAAAUUCUGCGCUUGUUCUUUAAUUUAACAGAUUGCAAACCACCAGCAAACCUCAUUCUAACCAAUCCAGCAGCCAUCUUUUACGACCUUUUAUGCACUAACGAAGUUAGGUCCAGAUUGAUGCGAUUUUGAGUCAUUCUUAAAAUGUAAUCUGAAAGUAAAAUUUAACUGCCUGCGAGAAAUUUGAUGUACAAAUUCAAUUAGAACGUUUUUGGAAGAUACAGAAAUGCCAAACGCCAUCUAACAUUUAUUUCAAAGAAGAAUAUUUUGU